Molecule: ribosomal RNA, 393 nt
Filed under: uncultured bacterium
Lineage: Bacteria
Description: partial 16S ribosomal RNA
Rfam family: Bacterial small subunit ribosomal RNA
Source: RNAcentral
AUACGGAGGAUCCGAGCGUUAUCCGGAUUUAUUGGGUUUAAAGGGAGCGUAGGCGGAUUAUUAAGUCAGUUGUGAAAGUUUGCGGCUCAACCGUAAAAUUGCAGUUGAUACUGGUAGUCUUGAGUGCAGCAGAGGUAGGCGGAAUUCGUGGUGUAGCGGUGAAAUGCUUAGAUAUUACGAAGAACUCCGAUUGCGAAGGCAGCUUACUGGACUGUAACUGACGCUGAUGCUCGAAAGUGUGGGUAUCAAACAGGAUUAGAUACCCUGGUAGUCCACACAGUAAACGAUGAAUACUCGCUGUUUGCGAUAUACAGCAAGCGGCCAAGCGAAAGCAUUAAGUAUUCCACCUGGGGAGUACGCCGGCAACGGUGAAACUCAAAGGAAUUGGCGGGG